AAAGUACUCCCUCCGUCCCAAAAUUAUUGUCUUAGAUUUGUCUAGAUAUGGAUGUAUCUAGAAACAUCCGUAUCUAGACAAAUCUAAGACAAGAAAUUUGGAACAGAGAAAGUAGUUG
Molecule: non-coding RNA, 118 nt
Organism: Triticum aestivum (bread wheat)
Lineage: Eukaryota; Viridiplantae; Streptophyta; Magnoliopsida; Poales; Poaceae
Source: Rfam